This 19-nucleotide ribosomal RNA is filed under the name Fusarium sp. JMSR-2013. RNAcentral's name for it is "partial 28S ribosomal RNA". Lineage: Eukaryota; Fungi; Ascomycota; Sordariomycetes; Hypocreales; Nectriaceae. The record is from RNAcentral.
UGACCUCGAAUCAGGUAGA